GAAUUUAAAAUCACUGCCUCUCGUUCCCACUCAAACUUAGCUAAGCUACCAAAAGCACAACACAAACAAGAGAACAAUAGUUAGAGGCUGUUGAAGAGAUACAUACAUAGUGUUAGUGUUAUUUAUGUUAUGGUGUCCCUCAACCCAAACCCACCUCAAACUUUUCACUUCUUCGACCCCUUCCACAUGGAGGAUCAGAGUAAGAAGGUUCGAAAACCUUACACCAUUACCAAGUCCAGAGAGAAUUGGACUGACCAAGAGCAUGACAAGUUUCUUGAAGCUCUUCACUUAUUCGAACGUGACUGGAAGAAGAUUGAAGCAUUUGUAGGUUCAAAAACAGUUAUUAGAUAAGGAGUCAUGCACAGAAAUAUUUCAUGAAAAUUCAGAAGAAUGGCACAAGUGAACAUGUACCUCCCCCUCGUCCAAAGAGAAAAGCUGCUCAUCCAUACCCACAAAAGGCUUCUAAAAAUUCUCCUACUAUAUCCCAAGUUGCACGGCCAUUCCAAUCUUCAUCUGCUUUAUCUGAAUCAUCAAACAUUUAUAGGCCAGAUUCAUCAUCUGUGCUUAGAACUCCAGUUAGCAGUGUACCAUUACCAUCUUGGGGUUAUAAUGUUGCACCACCGAUCGGUCUUCCUAGAUGAUAUGGUGGUAGUGAUUCAACAAGCCAAUCCUUUCAGUUACUGCUAUAGCAGUAGUAAUGAGAGCACUCCUAGGGGUUGGCCAAGUAGCAAAGAGAGUGAUCAAGGAAAGUCAAUUAUAGUAAUGCCAGAUUUUGCACAAGUCUAUAGAUUCAUUGGAAGUGUAUUUGAUCCAAAUGCGACUAAUCAUCUACAGACACUGAAACAGAUGAACCCAAUAAAUGUGAAAACUGUAUUGCUAUCGAUGAGAAACCUCUCCACCAAUUUGAGGAGUCCUGAAUUUGAGAAUGAGCUGCCACUUUGCACUUUCCUCAGCAUAUAAUGGAUAUUAUUCCGUUAAGAGAACAAUUCCUUGGCACAUGCAUAUGGAAAAGUAAGGAAAAGAGAAGGUUGCUGUCGUUGUACAAUGCUAACUUGGAGAAGGGAAAAUCUGGUAGUCAUCAUCGCAACCAACCCCUCAGUGACAGAUCAGAGAGUGCUGUCUUAUAUGCUUAAGGUGUUACCAAUGGUUUCUCAAGAACAUAGAUUUUAAAUAUCUUCCAAAAACACAAUAAGCUUUCCUCUCAGCAACCACUAACUCCAAAUGGUGAAAUAUGGGGCACAAGAGGGGUAGGAUUACAGAUUUUACAAACAGUUUGUAGGGUGCAGAUGUUUACGUGUAUGUAAUUUACUGUCAUUUAGGCUUAUGUGUGUAUCUUAUAAAGAUGGUUGUCAUAGAAAUGCAGGAUAAUGAGUCCAGAGUCCUGUUAAGUAUCCUGGAGGCUGUACUGUGCAGAAUAUUGAGAGCUUCUGUCUGUAAUGCUGUGAUCCUUUUUUUCUACAAUUUAGUAUACAUGAGCGGUGCUUCCAGUGUUGUAUAUAUAAACCAAAACCAAUAAAGAGCAUAUAUAAAUUGUGCUAAUUUCAUGCA
RNA transcript from Glycine soja, 1548 nucleotides. It is a transcript of the gene named protein REVEILLE 5-like, with no coding region annotated. The record is from RefSeq and is a predicted model, not a curated record. The transcript has 9 exons. NCBI's taxonomy places the organism in Eukaryota, Viridiplantae, Streptophyta, Magnoliopsida, Fabales, Fabaceae.